RNAcentral lists this ribosomal RNA (427 nucleotides) under uncultured bacterium. Its description in RNAcentral is "partial 16S ribosomal RNA". It matches the Rfam family "Bacterial small subunit ribosomal RNA", at positions 355 to 774 of the family's 1533-position model. The record is from RNAcentral.
UGGGGAAUAUUGGACAAUGGGCGAAAGCCUGAUCCAGCCAUGCCGCGUGUGUGAAGAAGGUCUUCGGAUUGUAAAGCACUUUAAGUUGGGAGGAAGGGCAUUAACCUAAUACGUUAGUGUUUUGACGUUACCGACAGAAUAAGCACCGGCUAACUCUGUGCCAGCAGCCGCGGUAAUACAGAGGGUGCAAGCGUUAAUCGUAAUUACUGGGCGUAAAGCGCGCGUAGGUGGUUUGUUAAGUUGGAUGUGAAAUCCCCGGGCUCAACCUGGGAACUGCAUUCAAAACUGACUGACUAGAGUAUGGUAGAGGGUGGUGGAAUUUCCUGUGUAGCGGUGAAAUGCGUAGAUAUAGGAAGGAACACCAGUGGCGAAGGCGACCACCUGGACUAAUACUGACACUGAGGUGCGAAAGCGUGGGGAGCAAACA